UGCAUUAAUGACUUCAUACAUAUAUUUAAAAUAUUCCUUGUCUAGAUAAUUCUCAUCCUCAACUUCAAAUUUAAAAUGAUUCUUCAACUCAUUUAUGGCAAACUUAGGCUUAGUUUCUUCAAACUCAAUUUGUAUAUGCCCUGUUCGUCCCUAUAUCUUAGUGUACUCAAAAAGAUCACCAUCCUGCUCCUAUUCUCAUUCUAAAGCAAUGUCCACAUAAGCUAUCAUGCCUUGAAUCCAGCACCUAGAUUGGCCACAUGAUAUGGCCGCAUGAAUCCUAGAGUGAUGCCCUG
RNAcentral lists this long non-coding RNA (293 nucleotides) under Elaeis guineensis (African oil palm). RNAcentral describes it as "long non-coding RNA (EGUI_LNC028120)". Lineage: Eukaryota; Viridiplantae; Streptophyta; Magnoliopsida; Arecales; Arecaceae. The record is from RNAcentral.